CAGCCGCCGCGGGAAUACGUAGGUGGCAAGCGUUGUCCGGAAUUAUUGGGCGUAAAGCGCGCGCAGGUGGUUUAAUAAGUCUGAUGUGAAAGCCCACGGCUCAACCGUGGAGGGUCAUUGGAAACUGUUAAACUUGAGUGCAGGAGAGAAAAGUGGAAUUCCUAGUGUAGCGGUGAAACGCGUAGAGAUUAGGAGGAACACCAGUGGCGAAGGCGGCUUUUUGGCCUGUAACUGACACUGAGGCGCGAAAGCGUGGGGAGCAAACAGGAUUAGAUACCCCCGUAGUCCCUGUCUCUUAUAA
RNAcentral lists this ribosomal RNA (301 nucleotides) under uncultured bacterium. Its description in RNAcentral is "partial 16S ribosomal RNA". It matches the Rfam family "Bacterial small subunit ribosomal RNA", at positions 509 to 809 of the family's 1533-position model. The record is from RNAcentral.